Small nucleolar RNA from Gadus morhua (Atlantic cod), 72 nucleotides. The record is from Ensembl. NCBI's taxonomy places the organism in Eukaryota, Metazoa, Chordata, Actinopteri, Gadiformes, Gadidae.
CUGCAGUGAUGUUUUGAAUUUCUUCAACUGAAAAAAUAAUGAAGCUACCUUAACUUUUUAACCCUGAGCAUU